UUUAGACAUUUCGAGUUGGGUCGAUGCCCAAGCCAACCUGCCUACCCGGGCAAGGUGGAUUGCGAAAGCAAAUGUGGCUCCCUUUGGAGCAACCAAGCGGGGCGCA
RNAcentral lists this non-coding RNA (106 nucleotides) under Microchloropsis gaditana. Its description in RNAcentral is "Nannochloropsis gaditana SAM-I-IV sequence". It matches the Rfam family "SAM-I/IV (S-adenosyl methionine) riboswitch aptamer". From Rfam's summary of the family: It is found upstream of a number of genes which code for proteins involved in methionine or cysteine biosynthesis. The record is from RNAcentral. Lineage: Eukaryota; Eustigmatophyceae; Eustigmatales; Monodopsidaceae.